CUUGAGCACGUAGGUGGGUUUGUAAGUCAGGUGUGAAAGCCUUCUGUUCAACGGGAGAAUUGCAUCUGAAACUACGAAUCUUGAGUGUAGGAGGGGAGAAUGGAACUUCUGGUGGAGCGGUGAAAUGCGUAGAUAUCAGAAGGAACGCCGGCGGCGAAAGCGAUUCUCUGGCCUAUUACUGACACUCAGUGUGCGAAAGCUAGGGGAGCAAACGGGAUUAGAUACCCCGGUAGUCCUAGCCGUAAACGAUGGGCACUAAGUAGUGGGAAUUACCGAUGUUCUCUCUGCCGUAGCUAACGCAUUAAGUGCCCCGCCUGGGGAGUACGGCCGCAAGGCUAAAACUCAAAAGAAUUGACGGGGGCUCGCACAAGCGGUGGAGCAUGUGGCUUAAUUCGAUGCAACGCGAAGAACCUUACCGGGGCUUGACAUGGUAGAAGUAGGAACCCGAAAGGGUAACGAACGGUAUCCAGUCCGUAGCUAUCACAGGUGUUGCAUGGCUGUCGUCAGCUCGUGUCGUGAGACGUUGGGUUAAGUCCCCUAACGAGCGAAACCCUUGUUUUUAGUUACCAGCGGGUUGUGCCGGGUACUCUAGAAAGACUGCCGUCGUCAAGACGGAGGAAGGUGGGGAUGACGUCAAGUCAUCAUGGCCCUUAUGCCCCGGGCUGCACACGCGCUACAAUGGUCGGUACAAACGGAAGCGAAGCCGAGAGGUGAAGCGAAUCCAAGC
Molecule: ribosomal RNA, 727 nt
Filed under: uncultured Planctomycetota bacterium
Lineage: Bacteria; Pseudomonadati; Planctomycetota
Description: bacterial SSU rRNA
Rfam family: Bacterial small subunit ribosomal RNA
Source: RNAcentral